RNAcentral lists this small nucleolar RNA (106 nucleotides) under Echinops telfairi (small Madagascar hedgehog). RNAcentral's name for it is "Small nucleolar RNA SNORA61 (ENSETEG00000025280.1)". The record is from RNAcentral. Lineage: Eukaryota; Metazoa; Chordata; Mammalia; Afrosoricida; Tenrecidae.
ACCCUCUGGAUUCCUUGCCCAUCCGAUCUAAACACCAGUCUGGCUAUAAAAGGAGGAAAAGUAAAACUGAAAUGGACUUGGAUCCUUUUUAUUUACUCUUAAAUGU